UGGGGAAUAUUGCACAAUGGAGGAAACUCUGAUGCAGCGACGCCGCGUGAGGGAAGAAGGUAUUCGUAUUGUAAACCUCUGUCUUCAAGGAAGAAAGCGAAAGUAGACGGUACUUGAGGAGGAAGCCACGGCUAACUACGUGCCAGCAGCCGCGGUAAAACGUAGGUGGCAAGCGUUGUCCGGAAUUACUGGGUGUAAAGGGAGCGCAGGCGGUUUUUCAAGUUGGGUGUUUAAUCUACGGGCUCAACCCGUAUCAGCACUCAAAACUGAAAGACUUGAGUAAAGUAGAGGUAGGCGGAAUUUCCGGUGUAGCGGUGGAAUGCGUAGAUAUCGGAAGGAACACCAGUGGCGAAGGCGGCCUACUGGGCUUUUACUGACGCUGAGGCUCGAAAGCAUGGGUAGCAAACAGG
RNAcentral lists this ribosomal RNA (410 nucleotides) under uncultured prokaryote. RNAcentral's name for it is "bacterial SSU rRNA". It matches the Rfam family "Bacterial small subunit ribosomal RNA", at positions 355 to 776 of the family's 1533-position model. The record is from RNAcentral. RNAcentral also lists the same sequence under 1 other name.